AAUGAACGCUGGCGGCAGGCCUAACACAUGCAAGUCGAACGGAGCGGGGAAGGGUGAGUAACACGUGGAUAACCUCCUAUAAGACUGGGAUAACUUCGGGAAAACGGAGCUAAACCGGAAACUUAUAGAUGGAUCAGCGCUGCAUGAGCUAGUUGGUAAGAUAACGGCUUACAAAGGCAACGAUGCAUAGCCGACCUGAGAGGGGGAUAGUCCACACUGGGACUGAGAAACGGUCCAGACUCCUACGGUAGGCAGCAGUAGGGAAUCUUCGGCAAUGGGCGAAAUCCUGACGGAGCAACGCCGCGUGAGUGAUGAAGGUUUUCGGAUCGUAAAACUCUGUUAUUAGGGAAGCGGUACCUAAUCAGAAAGCCACGGCUAACUACGUGCCAGCAGCCGCGGUAAUAC
RNAcentral lists this ribosomal RNA (405 nucleotides) under uncultured bacterium. Its description in RNAcentral is "partial 16S ribosomal RNA". It matches the Rfam family "Bacterial small subunit ribosomal RNA", at positions 29 to 526 of the family's 1533-position model. The record is from RNAcentral.